UGAGGGAAUGUGAUGAAUGUUAAAGGCAUAGUUCAACCAGAAAUGACAAUUCAUCAUCAUUUUUUCAUCCUCAUGUCAUUCAAACCUGUAUGACUCCACUU
This is a small nucleolar RNA of Ctenopharyngodon idella (grass carp), 101 nucleotides long. RefSeq annotates it as small nucleolar RNA snR60/Z15/Z230/Z193/J17. The transcript has a single exon. NCBI's taxonomy places the organism in Eukaryota, Metazoa, Chordata, Actinopteri, Cypriniformes, Xenocyprididae. The record is from RefSeq and is a predicted model, not a curated record.